Molecule: ribosomal RNA, 498 nt
Filed under: uncultured bacterium
Lineage: Bacteria
Description: partial 16S ribosomal RNA
Rfam family: Bacterial small subunit ribosomal RNA
Source: RNAcentral
AUUGAACGCUGGCGGAAUGCUUUACACAUGCAAGUCGAACGGCAGCACGGACUUCGGUCUGGUGGCGAGUGGCGAACGGGAGAGUAAUGUAUCGGAACGUGCCCAGUCGUGGGGGAUAACGUAGUGAAAAUUACGCUAAUACCGCAUACGAUCUAUGGAUGAAAGCGGGGGAUCGCAAGACCUCGCGCGAUUGGAGCGGCCGAUAUCAGAUUAGGUAGUUGGUGGGGUAAAGGCCCACCAAGCCAACGAUCUGUAGCUGGUCUGAGAGGACGACCUGCCACUGGAACUGAGACACGGUCCAGACUCCUACGGGAGGCAGCAGUGGGGAAUUUUGGACAAUGGGCGAAAGCCUGAUCCAGCCAUGCCGCGUGCAGGAUGAAGGCCCUCGGGUUGUAAACUGCUUUUGUACAGAACGAAAAGGUUUCUACUAAUACUAGGAGCUCAUGACGGUACUGUAAGAAUAAGCACCGGCUAACUACGUGCCAGCCGCCGCAGUAA